This 423-nucleotide ribosomal RNA is filed under the name uncultured bacterium. Its description in RNAcentral is "bacterial SSU rRNA". It matches the Rfam family "Bacterial small subunit ribosomal RNA", at positions 207 to 622 of the family's 1533-position model. The record is from RNAcentral.
AAGACCUUGCACUUUUGGAGCGGCCGAUGUCUGAUUAGCUAGUUGGUGGGGUAAAGGCCUACCAAGGCUUCGAUCAGUAGUUGGUCUGAGAGGACGACCAGCCACACUGGGACUGAGACACGGCCCAGACUCCUACGGGAGGCAGCAGUGGGGAAUUUUGGACAAUGGGGGCAACCCUGAUCCAGCCAUGCCGCGUGAGUGAAGAAGGCCUUCGGGUUGUAAAGCUCUUUCAGUCGGGAAGAAAAGGUUGUGACUAAUAAUUGCAAUUCAUGACGGUACCGACAGAAGAAGCACCGGCUAACUACGUGCCAGCAGCCGCGGUAAUACGUAGGGUGCGAGCGUUAAUCGGAAUUACUGGGCGUAAAGGGUGCGCAGGCGGUCUUGUAAGUCAGAUGUGAAAUCCCCGGGCUUAACCUGGGAACU